Molecule: long non-coding RNA, 893 nt
Organism: Gambusia affinis (western mosquitofish)
Lineage: Eukaryota; Metazoa; Chordata; Actinopteri; Cyprinodontiformes; Poeciliidae
Exons: 3
Source: RefSeq, a predicted model, not a curated record
UGACCCAAUGAUGUCUCAUUUGCUGAUGACACAAUAAUGAGCCUCAGAAGUUAUGACUUUUUGUCGAGUUAUUCUGUGGUUCUAGUCAAACCUACAGCUUUAGGGAAGGAGGAAUGGCUGUUUUGUGGUUUUCGAAACAACCAUGAUCAUGUGCAUUAUCGCUGCAGUUGGAUUCCAUCCUUAUCUGGACACAAGAAAGAUUCAAAUAAAUACUGACAAAGAAAAAGUACAACUAGCAAACAAGAGGAAAGAACACCAUAAGAAGUCCCAUUCAAAUGUCAGAUGAAAACUAUACGAGGCACUGUGCAUCAGCUGAGUACAGCAUCUCCAUGGUGACGCAUGGUGGUGGUUUGUCUUUUCCACUAGGGAAGUGGUUCAGAAUCAGUGGGGAGACGGAUGGAGCUACAUAAAAGCCAAAAGUGAGAAAAAAAAUGUAUCCGAUGCCUCGGCUUACACAGAGGGUCACCUUCCAGGAGGACAGCCUUCAUCAUACAGCCAGAGAUACAAUGCAUAGAUCUAUGCAUGUUUAUGUGUUCCAAUGGCCCAGUUAAAGUCCAGUCAUAUAUCCAAUUGAGAAUCUUUGGGAGAAAGCUACUGCCUCAUGGGUUUCACCAGUUUCAAAUUUAUGCAAAAGGAUAAAAGAAAGAAAAGAAACAAAAAAAAGUCCUUUUCAUUUUGUUUUCACAUCAUAAUUCUGCAUUACUUUGUGUUUUUCUGUCGCAAAAAGGGGAAAUAGGAGUGCUGUGUACCAUUCCAGAUAAGGUGCUUGAGUUGUUUAUGACCAGUAUGCUAAAGAUCUUGUACAGGAAGCAAACUUCUUAUCUUUCCUUGUGUAACUAUCUCAUUGUACAUAUCUCCACAUAUGUAAUCAAAUUAAAUGUGCUGACAUUUUC